CCUACGAGUGGCAGCAGUGGGGGAUAUUGGACAAUGGGGGAAACCCUGAUCCAGCGAUGCCGCGUGAGGGAAGAAGGUUUUCGGAUUGUAAACCUAUGUGGAGGGGGACGAUAAUGACGGUACCCCUUUAGGAAGCCACGGCUAACUACGUGCCAGCAGCCGCGGUAAUACGUAGGUGGUGAGCGUUGUCCGGAAUUACUGGGUGUAAAGGGAGUGUAGGCGGGCAAGCAAGUCAGAAGUGAAAACUAUGGGCUUAACCCAUAGCCUGCUUUUGAAACUGUUUUUCUUGCGUGAAGUAGAGGCAAGCGGAAUUCCUAGUGUAGCGGUGCAAUGCUUAGAUAUGACGAAGAACCCCGAUUGCGAAGGCAGCUUGCUGCAGCGGAACUGACGCUGAUGCUCGAAAGCGCGGGUAUCGAACAGGAUUAGAUACCCUGGUAGUC
RNAcentral lists this ribosomal RNA (440 nucleotides) under uncultured bacterium. Its description in RNAcentral is "partial 16S ribosomal RNA". It matches the Rfam family "Bacterial small subunit ribosomal RNA", at positions 338 to 795 of the family's 1533-position model. The record is from RNAcentral.